This 497-nucleotide ribosomal RNA is filed under the name uncultured bacterium. RNAcentral's name for it is "partial 16S ribosomal RNA". It matches the Rfam family "Bacterial small subunit ribosomal RNA", at positions 28 to 507 of the family's 1533-position model. The record is from RNAcentral.
GAUGAACGCUGGCGGCGUGCCUAAUACAUGCAAGUCGAGCGAACGGACGAGAAGCUUGCUUCUCUGAUGUUAGCGGCGGACGGGUGAGUAACACGUGGAUAACCUACCUAUAAGACUGGGAUAACUUCGGGAAACCGGAGCUAAUACCGGAUAAUAUUUUGAACCGCAUGGUUCAAAAGUGAAAGACGGUCUUGCUGUCACUUAUAGAUGGAUCCGCGCUGCAUUAGCUAGUUGGUAAGGUAACGGCUUACCAAGGCAACGAUGCAUAGCCGACCUGAGAGGGUGAUCGGCCACACUGGAACUGAGACAGGGUCCAGACUCCUACGGGAGGCAGCAGAAGGGAAUCUUCCGCAAUGGGCGAAAGCAUGACGGAGCAACGCCGCGUGAGUGAUGAAGGUCUUCGGAUCGUAAAACUCUGUUAUUAGGGAAGAACAUAUGUGUAAGUAACUGUGCACAUCUUGACGGUACCUAAUCAGAAAGCCACGGCUAACUACGUG